AGAGUUUGAUCCUGGCUCAGAACGAACGCUGGCGGCGUGGCUAAGGCAUGCAAGUCGAACGGACCUAUUCAACGGGUAACUGAAGAGUAGGUCAGUGGCGAACGGGUGAGGAAUUCAUGGAUAACGUGCCCCGGACUCAGGGAUAGCGUUGUGAAAAUGACGGUAAUACCUGAUGACCCCGUAGGACCGCAUGGUCCGGCGGGCAAAGCUCCGACGGUCCGGGAGCGAUUCAUGUCCUAUCAGCUAGUUGGUGAGGUAACGGCUCACCAAGGCGGCGACGGGUAUCGGGCGUGAGAGCGUGACCCGACACAUCGGAACUGAGAUACGGUCCGGACACCUACGGGUGGCUGCAGCAACGAAUAUUCCGCAAUGGACGAAAGUCUGACGGAGCGACGCCGCGUGCAGGAAGAAGUCCCUCGGGAUGUAAACUGCUGUCAGGGGUUAGGAACACAAUGACCAACCCCAGAGGAAGCCACGGCUAACUCCGUGCCAGCAGCCGCGGUAAUACGGAGGUGGCGAGCGUUGUUCGGAAUCACUGGGCUUAAAGCGCGUGUAGGCGGGACGGUAAGUGUCGGGUGAAAGCCCUCGGCUCAACCGAGGAACGGUCUGGCAUACUGUCGUCCUUGAGGCAGACAGAGGUCACUGGAACGACGGGUGGAGCGGUGAAAUGCGUAGAUAUCCGUUGGAACGCCGGCGGCGAAAGCGAGUGACUGGGUCUGUCCUGACGCUGAGACGCGAAAGCGUGGGUAGCAAACAGGAUUAGAUACCCUGGUAGUCCACGCCGUAAACGAUGCGCACUAGGCAUGAGGGGCUCUGACGCCCAUCGCGCCGAAGCAAAAGUGUUAAGUGCGCCGCCUGGGGAGUACGGCCGCAAGGCUAAAACUCAAAGGAAUUGACGG
Molecule: ribosomal RNA, 899 nt
Filed under: uncultured bacterium
Lineage: Bacteria
Description: bacterial SSU rRNA
Rfam family: Bacterial small subunit ribosomal RNA
Source: RNAcentral